CAGCAGCCGCGGUAAAACGGAGGGUGCAAGCGUUAAUCGGAAUUACUGGGCGUAAAGCGCACGCAGGCGGUUAUAUAAGACAGAUGUGAAAUCCCCGGGCUCAACCUGGGAACUGCAUUUGUGACUGUAUAGCUAGAGUACGGCAGAGGGGGAUGGAAUUCCGCGUGUAGCAGUGAAAUGCGUAGAUAUGCGGAGGAACACCGAUGGCGAAGGCAAUCCCCUGGGCCUGUACUGACGCUCAUGCACGAAAGCGUGGGGAGCAAACAGGAUUAGAUACCCCCGUAGUCCCUGUCUCUUAUAC
RNAcentral lists this ribosomal RNA (301 nucleotides) under uncultured bacterium. Its description in RNAcentral is "partial 16S ribosomal RNA". It matches the Rfam family "Bacterial small subunit ribosomal RNA", at positions 509 to 807 of the family's 1533-position model. The record is from RNAcentral.